Rhineura floridana is the source of this 2505-nucleotide long non-coding RNA. RefSeq lists it as uncharacterized. Lineage: Eukaryota; Metazoa; Chordata; Lepidosauria; Squamata; Rhineuridae. The record is from RefSeq and is a predicted model, not a curated record. The transcript has 3 exons.
AACAAACAGUAAUUACAUUCAGGUAUCAUUAGGGGCCUGCUUUGAAUCCACAACCACAAAAGCGUCUCCCUCUCUCUCUCUAGCUAAAGCUGGAAACUCCAUCCUUGAGGCAUUUGUGUAAGGACUGUGACAAAUGUAGUGUGCCUGAAGACCCCCGCCCCCCUUUGGCAAACAACUGCAUGUUAAAAAAAAAACACAGUAAAGGAUACAGUUUGAACUUUAACUCUCUUUCCUGACUUGUGUUGCUUUCAGAGCAAAUUGCUCCUCCUCCUGGGCUUCAGUUAAUCCGAUGCCUUGAGAGCCUGCUAAGAAGGAGAUAAUGAUGAGUAUCUUCUCAACAAACAGACCCUUAAUUCCCCAGCUUUAAGGUCUACAAGGAUCCGCUCUCCCAGGUGCUAGCAGUUCAAAGCACAGGCUUAGUCCAUGGUAUCUGCAAGGCUCUCCUCCAACACUACAUUUCAAAUGGACUUAGACCAGAGAAUCCUUCAAACAGAGAGGACUGUUCUCUGUAAAGUAGGACAUGGACACCUUCUCCUCCUCUGCAUCUCUUCGAUUUUUCCACUUAUAAAACAGCAGUCAUUUAGCUCAUCUAUUCACUGGAGCUAAUUUCUGGCCCAGAAAGUGAAUCAUUUGGGUGCAAUUAGAAUCAAAACACAAAGGUAACGGUCCACCCACACAGGAACCAGUUACUUCAACACGCAGGUGACUUCAUUUCUGCUCCAGCAAUAACUGCAUCAGCACCAGGAGCAGACAGCAGAGCUGAACAGUAGGACUGAAAGGGAGCGAUAUGAUAUCGCCUGCACUGGUGCCUGAAGCAUUGCGCUUAAUCCCACGUUCCUUUCAUUGUACAGCCAAGCAUAGAUCAAGCCAUUAAGCCAGUUGUGCCAUCAGAGCAGGACUUGUGGGGCAGAGGUCUAGGGCUCCCCUCAGCAGAAUGAGCAGGAGGGUCCCCAAAUUCAGUAAGGAUUGGGCUUGCUGUGUUUUGAAGUCAGUGAAGUAAUGUGCAUUACUAUUUAAAGAGGAUAGUCUUUAUGAGAGCAUUAAUUUCAGAGUCUAAAAUGACUUAACUGUAUCACCACUGCAUGAAACUGAGAGCUGACAGAUUUGCAUCAUUCAUGUGGAUGUCAUCCCCGAUGGUGGAUUUGAUUUAGUGCGUCCCAGACCUCCCCUCUCCAAUGACCUGGAGAUGAUUAGGCAAGGUGAGGUGACUCAUCUGAGGCUUCUGUCUGGUUACCGUUAAUCAGCACCAAAUUGCCAGAGGUUUAGUUUAUUACUACACUUUUACAUGAAGGAUUGAGAUCUGGAUUUUCUAGGUCAGGGUUUUCUCUGCCUCCUCUCCAUCCCCAAAUCCUAGAAAGAUAAAGAGCAAUACAUUGUGUGCCUUUUUCUAUUGAACGGUCAUUGCGAGCUCAGGCUGAGAAAAGCCUUCUGUUUGCCAUCAUUACCCAACAGUAUACAUAAUGAAACCGUACCUGUAAGAAAGACAAAAGCAAGGGCAUAGGUCUAGGGGUAUUACAAAACCAUGGGACUUCUGAAACAAAUCACAAAGGGAGCACUUAAAAAGAAUGGCCCAGGUGCCUGAUGUGAACAAGCCACAGCAAGUAUUCAGCUCGCAUGCUUCCUCCUCUCCACUCUUCCUCCAGUGCAGCUACACAGAGUUCAGAAGCUUUUGCUUGGUACCACAGCUUGUCUUUCCAUUGGACAAACUGUGGUUGACGUUAACCAUGAUUUGGUUCAAACAAACUGACUUUAUACCAUGGUUUACGCUGGCAAGUUUAAGCAAACCCUAGUUAGCACACAGUUUAGGCUUGGGACAGAACAUUAAACCAGGGAUGCCAUCUUCCAGAUGUUGCUGGACAGCAAGUCCCAGUGCAGCUCACAUGAGAGCAAAGCAAAGAUGUCCCCUCCUGCAAGCUUAAAAUCAAAAAGACACAACACAAAAGAAAAAGGAGAUGAGGAGGGAAGAGGGGGAAAGAUAAAUAUGGUCACCAGAUGGAAUGGCUGUUCAAUUUCCUGACUAGGAAUGGCUAGAGCUGAUGGGAGUUGAUGCCCAACAACAUCUGGAGGACCGCAGGUUCCCCAGCCCUGCACUAAGAUGAAUGGAAGUCAAUUCCUCCUGGCAGCUACACCAGAGAGGGGGAGGGGAAGCACACCAACCUGAGACUUGCACAGGCUCAUCCUCAUAAUGCAGCCAAUGUACCUGCAUGGAAAUUAAAAAGUGUUGCAAGAUAAGUAGAACCAAAGAGGCAGCAGAGAAGGAGACAGUUUAGGAAGCCUAGGAGCCUCAACUGACACAUGCUUGGGAUCAAGCCAAAUGAGAAGUUGAUGACAGUGGCUGGAUCUCCCCAUCCCAUUUUUAAAAGCAGCUGAGGAGGGGAUGAUUUGAAUGAGGACUGUGGCUCUUGACGGGAGUUUCAACCCUUUCUCCAUGUGCCAUUUCCCCAGUGUAAAUGCUGUCCCCAAACUUGCUAGCAAGCUUCUACCAGCUUUCCCAAAUGGGAUUAA